AACUAAUACUGAACAGGGGUAAGAUUCAUAUCAUGAAUUAUAUGUAUCCCAGUCAAACCUGGGUUGUGAGAAAAGCUCAUAGUCAAUGGGUCCAUCUACAAUACUAUCAACGGUCUGGAUGCCUUCCAAAAGAGCUGAUUGAAAACCAUCAUUAUCAGAAGGCAAUAAUUUGUACAUUACUAACAAUCCAAGAGUGAAAAUGGCCUGCAACUUCGUGGAGUCUCCAUGGACUGAAAAGAAUAAAAGCAUUGAAAGAAGGAAUAAAUCAACACAGAACCGCAUGAUACACAGUACUGUGUCCAUCAACCUCCCAUCGUUGCCUGCGGGAAAUCCCCGGACUCUAUAUAUAAAAAGAAAGUUGUACUUGUCAACCACAUAUCUAUACCCAAAAUAAACUGCACCAACAGGGACCACAAGUGGAGCAAAUGACGAAUAUAUCAUGGUCAGGGCAAAUAUUGUCAAAUUAAAUGCAUAAUAUUGUGCAAAAUCAAAUUUCUGCUUGGGAAUGGGAGAGGUUCUGCUGAUUGGAUAUUCAGAAAGAUUUUGUCCCUCUGGAUCAAUUCCAUUAAAUCUGGGGGAGUCAAACACAUUCUCAUGCAUCAGUGGUCUCUGAAGACUGUUUAUCAUCUGAUUUUCCAGGGGGUACUCUUCGCUUUGCUCUGGCACUAACUGGAGCAUGUCAUUCUUCCGAAAUUUCUUGAUCUUUUUCUUUAUCCAAGGGAUUGGAGCCAAUAGAUCAAAAGAUAUUCCCAAGAAGGUGCUUGUGAUUAAAAAUGCAAGAGAAGAAAGGCAUGAUCUUGACAAGAAUGAUGCACUCAUAUAUUGCUCAAUCCUCUUGCAAUCCUCUCCAUCCAAAUAACACCUACCCAUCUUCAAGAUUGCACUUUCCAAAGAAGACUCAACCAGAGCUCUCAAUAGAAUAAGAUUUACAAGGAAGAAGCAAACCAUCUUUAGAAGUGCAGCUCUUUGCUCCCCAGACACAGUCAGAUGACGUUCAAACUUGGAAAGAUAAGAAAGAGCUGAAGGAACUACUAUAUACAUGCUCACAAAUAUUAUGACA
This 1060-nucleotide unclassified non-coding RNA is filed under the name Hevea brasiliensis (rubber tree). Lineage: Eukaryota; Viridiplantae; Streptophyta; Magnoliopsida; Malpighiales; Euphorbiaceae. The record is from RNAcentral.